AUUGCAUUUAGCCAGGUUGUAUGCAUCUGAAAAAGCUCUGUACACAUAUUUUCAGUGGAAACCUUGAUAAAAUACGACAGUGAAAAUUUCCAUGUACUUGGUUCAUCAUGGGGGCUCUUCAGCUUAGGUAAACUUACCUAAGCCUGCUUAAGUUGUUUCGUUAUGAGGUUUCACCAGACACCCCUGGCUCCAGCACCAUGGCACAGAAAAUGGGCUGCCCAACACCUGCUGCUUUGCACAUUUUGGAUGCUGCUGCUUAAUAUCUACCCCUGCUCUUCGCAGAAACUGUUUACAACUAUUUCAAAGUUUAACCUACCUCUGCAAGCCUUUGCUUAUUCAAGUGCUCUUGGUGUGAGUGAUCAGUCAGUGGAACUCUGCAUGUGUGAUGAGGAAGCACACAGGUGAGGAUUUCCAGAAGGUGGCUGCAAGUAUAUUGCAUAUCUUCACAUUCUCUUCACUAUUUUUGAUCUUGUAUGUACUUUUUUUGUCUGUUCUUCAUGUGUUGAGUGUACUUCAAGCAGCAUUGCUCUGUACUACAGAAGGCAACACAAAGUCAGUAACCAGUUCCUGAUCAUUAACUUCAGCUACCUCAAGAAGUGCCUUUUUUAGUGUGAUUAUUACUAUUAAAAGCAGUAUAAAUUUAUUGCAACAAUAAACUGACUUUUAUUGUAUCAUAAUUUUCAGCAGUUACACUAGUACAAGAUCUCAAAGGAGAAUUUGGAGGUGGGAAUUUCCUUGCCAUGAGUCAUUUCUCAAGUUACUACAGUCAUGUCCAUUAACAGCUUGAGGGUUUAGAAUUUUUAUGUUCUAGAUUUUCCCAAAAUUAGAAAACUACAAAGUUUCAAGCUUGCUGGGUCUGAAACAGCUGUUUCUAGAAUAAGUAUGUUCUUCAUUGAUUUGUGAUGGAAAGCUUGUAUCUGUGUGUGGCAACAGCAUCUGACUUCAGAUGACAAAACGUUGAAAAAUCCCCAGCUGAAAUUCGUGCAGCCAGACUGAGUGGUCAGAUAUGAUGGGUUAGAUCAGUCAUUGUAACCACCAAGAAGUGAGAAAAUGCUGGUGGAAAGUCUAGUCAGCAUGGAAAUUUAAUAUAGCACAGAUAAGCUUGGAAUCAACAGCUACACUGAUCAAAGAUGUUUUUUCUCUGUUUUUCCAUUUGUGGGUUCUGUUGUACUAGCUGACUACAGGAGUUAAGCACAGAUUAAAAUGAACACAGGUUAAGAGGAGGUCAGAAAAACAUAAUCAUCCUCUGAUGUUUUGCCAUUGAACAUGACUGAGGUUCUUGUCUGUGAAAAAAAAAAUCGCUGGUUAAUCCCUGAGCCAAGUGUAGUGAAGUCUGCUAUUUUCUGAGGCAGCAAGAUCUCUUCUUUUGACACUAACUUGCCUAUCAACUUCCUGCAUGUUAUCUAGAAGAAAAUUGUUAAUAAUAUCUUUUCUACCCCUUUAAAAAAGAAGUUAGUUCUGGAAGGGCAGAACUGGCCUCUUAACAUCCAAGAUGAAUUUGGCUCCAGAUUCGGAGGCAUCAAAGUGGGCUGGAUCCCAUUUAAACAAGUUUUCUUGCGAUUUAGGUGGGAAGCUGCAAACACCGAGAGCUUGUCUAGGCAGUAGGUGGCAGACUGCUCCCAGUAAUCUGCAGGAGGUUGUGACUCAGCCUUUCUUAGUGCCGACCGGGCUGUAGCUUAAGUUGAUGUGAAGAGAGAUGUAAAGAUGGAGAGAUUCCUAGGGUUCAAGAAGUCUACCUGCUUUCAUAGAACAUGCCGGGGAUUCUCCGGUCAGCAGUUGCCAGGAGAGGGGAUGUUGCUUCUACACGCCCUGUAUUAUCAGUUCCUAAAGUAACUGUGGCAGUUUACCCUGCCCUGCAGCAGCUGGGUGACCUUGGUCUUGUUUUGAAAGAUUUGCCACUGUUGAUACUGAGUUAGCACUCUUAUGGCUUUGACAUCUCCACAAAUCAUUAUGCUUGUAGGUUUGUCGCUACUCAGAAAUCCCUCUUAACUCCAGAUACCUCAAGAAAUUUUUUAACCAAAAUAGAGUUCAGCACAUGGAAUUAUAUGUCUGAGGAUGUCUAUGGGUACACCAAGGCCUCCAAUGAUCUCUGCAUACACAAAAUAGCUUCUCUACAGUACCCAAAAAGCUGUCCAGUCUUUUGACAAAGCCUUUUUAUUUUUUUCUUUUCUUUUUUCUUUUUUUUGUUUUGGUGCUUGCUUUCCCUAGAUGAUGCUAACUUGGAAGAAAUCUACUUCUGUCUUUAUAGCAGAUUGUAUUUCAAAUUUAAAUUCAUCUUGAAGAGUUUCCCCAAUGCCCUGCUACUAAUAAUUAAUGCACGUAAGGAAAUACUUUGUCCCUUAGCUUUUGUCUCUUAUGUUUCAUUGCAAGAGAAGCCUGUGGUGCUUACAUAAACUGUUUUUCGCAUUGUGCUUGUUUCUCAUGCCACUAUUUUGCUGCCAAGUACUCUAUCUAGUGUGUACCAAGACAUUUCCUUCCCGCCUAGGACUAGGUUCUUGUACCAAAAAACCACACAACACAAUGGUUUGUAAACACUUGGUGGAGCUGCCCAUCCACUAUGCAAAAAUAUUGGAUUUGAUUUAUGGAAUGAUAUGCUUAGCAUUCACCAGAUUAUCUAAACCUGGUUUUGUCACCAGAGAAGAUUUAAAAGCAAAAGAAUCUAUAAACAUAGAUUUUCAUGAUAGGAAAAGUGUCAUAAAAGUACCAAAUAACCAAAUAUUAUGGAAUUUACAUUUUUAUUAAGAUUAUGCUUAUUUUAACUGCUUCUGUAUUUAAGAUAACUUUUGAGACUGAUCCUUUAGACUCUGCUAGUGGUUAGUGGGACAUCACAUGAGUAUGCAGAAGCAUAGUUCUUUUGGUUUUUCUUUCCUGCUCAGGCUAUUUAACAUUUCUACUGCAUGCUUUGGUUAGACUAACAUUAUGCCAUCAGUCUUCAAGAUGCUUUCUCUUGCUUCUAUCUUCCUUAGAACAUGAUGGAAUUACUUUACAAAUUACACAUGAUGAAACAUAUAGAUUGUCCUUUCUCAAGAAAAAAAAAAGAA
Molecule: long non-coding RNA, 3041 nt
Organism: Pseudopipra pipra
Lineage: Eukaryota; Metazoa; Chordata; Aves; Passeriformes; Pipridae
Exons: 3
Source: RefSeq, a predicted model, not a curated record